CUUUACUGACGCUAAAGCUCGAAGGUGCGGGUAUCGAACAGGAUUAGAUACCCUGGUAGUCCGCACGGUAAACGAUGGAUGCCCGCUGUUUGCGAUAUAUUGUGAGCGGCCAAGCGAAAGCGUUAAGCAUCCCACCUGGGGAGUACGCCGGCAACGGUGAAACUCAAAGGAAUUGACGGGGGCCCGCACAAGCGGAGGAACAUGUGGUUUAAUUCGAUGAUACGCGAGGAACCUUACCCGGGCUUGAACUGCAGCAGAACGAUUGAGAGAUCAUGAGGUCCUUCGGGACUGCUGUGGAGGUGCUGCAUGGUUGUCGUCAGCUCGUGCCGUGAGGUGUCGGCUUAAGUGCCAUAACGAGCGCAACCCCUCUCUUCAGUUGCCAUCAGGUAGGGCUGGGCACUCUGGAGACACUGCCACCGUAAGGUGUGAGGAAGGUGGGGAUGACGUCAAAUCAGCACGGCCCUUACGUCCGGGGCUACACACGUGUUACAAUGGGUGGUACAGAGCGUCGGCGGCCUGCAAAGUCCGUCCAAUCGCAAAAUCCAUCCUCAGUUCGGACUGGGGUCUGCAACCCGACCCCACGAAGCUGGAUUCGCUAGUA
RNAcentral lists this ribosomal RNA (601 nucleotides) under uncultured bacterium. Its description in RNAcentral is "bacterial SSU rRNA". It matches the Rfam family "Bacterial small subunit ribosomal RNA", at positions 735 to 1340 of the family's 1533-position model. The record is from RNAcentral.